RNAcentral lists this long non-coding RNA (4907 nucleotides) under Homo sapiens (human). RNAcentral's name for it is "non-protein coding lnc-IL1R1-1:2". Lineage: Eukaryota; Metazoa; Chordata; Mammalia; Primates; Hominidae. The record is from RNAcentral.
AAUGCAUCUGAAGAAUCUGCCCGCAUAGGUAAAAACAUGCUCCCUUCUUGUCAUUGAAUUUUAAGCUGUGGACACAAGUCUUAUGAGUUCAUCUAUAAACAUAAGCAUAGAAAGCAGUAGAAGCCACACCUGUGGUGAGGAGCUCUCCAUAUGGGGUUGGUAAGUAAAGCAAUAAUCAUGGGUAUGCUUUCUGAGAGAAAGUAUAGCAGAAAGUAGAACAAAAUCUUGGGGGAAUGCCCACAGUUAAAGAGGCAGGCUUGAAAGGCAUAACCUGGACACAAAUAGGUAGGAAUUCAGAUUAACAUUCUUAGGGGUACAUUAAGUAACUUUGAGCUCUCUCAGCAGGUGCCAUGUGAGUCUCCAUGUGUGGUUGUGUUUUAAGCCCAGGAAGUGCUAGGAGUAAGCUGGAAUAAGCUAGAACUCACAGCUGGUUCUUCCACAUAGAGGUGGGUGACCUGUGUUCUGGGACCGCUUGAUUUCUCCAGUUCAUCUUCUGAACAUGUCCCCUCUAGAUAUGUUAUUCACACCGCCUUGGCUUUAGUCCAAGCUAUUCUAGCUGGGGUACGGUCCAAAUAAAUAAAUAAAUAAACUAAAUAAUCUGCUUGAUGAGGCCUGAGAGACACGUCCUCACGUCCCUAACCAUUCUACAACUCAAAUAGUGUCAGUCUGCCUUUGCAUCAAUGUCUCCUCAUUUCUACAAAUAGUAAGAAAAAUAUUCUUCUGGUUUAUUUCUUAACGCUGUCAUGUAGGUAAAUUGAUGAUCAGGUGAUUGCCUUCCGUCGUGUGCUUGAUUUUUCUGGGAGUGCAGUGUUGCAUGGCAAAGACAGGUAGAGACAUCUACAAUGUUAAGUAAGACGCAGGCUUCCAAACCCAAGGCCGGCCACUCUAGCUGGGAUUCUUGGAGGGGUAUGGCUCCUCUUCCCUUCUCUUUUUGGGAUAGAGAGAGAGCUCCGUCUCUUCCUGAGUUUUUAAGUCCCUGGCUAUUUCAUCCAGAGCCCAAAGUAGAAAGUCAGGUUAAUGUGAAAAGCUUGAUAUGUAUUCUUGAUAAAAACUCAAAGCCUUUGCAGAGUCUUGCAUUGGUUGAAAUCAGGGGCUGGCGCCUCCAAAUGAAAGGCAGCCACCAUUCGUGUUGACUGACGCUCAAAGCCAUGCCAUUUCUGACGAGUCUAUGUCCAAUGCCAAGUCUGUGGUGUUUUUUUUUUUUUUUUUUUCCCUUUUCAGAAAUGAAGGAGUGGAAUCACUGGGGAUACCUCCCGCAAUAGGAAAGCCCCUUGAGAACUGAAACAAGUCAUCUGUUUCUCAGGAGGAGCUGACCAAGAGCCCCCUCCUUUCGUGUGAAUUUAAAUUCCCCUUUUCAUGAGACUUUUCUUAAAGACAAGGAAAAAAAGCUAUCAGGGGAAAAUGAAUAAUAUGACAUCGAAAGUAUUGAAAGGCUUGAAAUGAUCCCACAUGUGUCAUCUGACUUUGAGAGGUGAAGGGGCUCCCGUCUGUACGUAGAGAGGCUGGCGUGCUGCCUGGAUUACUUGUCUGAUGUCACAUGCUAAUGGGAUCCCAGCUAGAAUGCUGGCAACUCUGACUGUAACAACCUCAGACACCUUUGCGCACAGCUUCAGUUUCAAAUUAAUUUUCACAUCCUCCUUAGGAAACUGGGCCCUCCGUAAUCAACAGAACUCUGCAUCGCACAUCCUAACAUUGAAACUCACCUGAGCACAAGGAUCCUACAGUUCUCCUAGACAGACCUCAAGAACCCGCACAGACCCUCGGGGCACACUCCCCUGUGUGUUUUGGAACAAAUAGUCACUCUCUGUGUUUUCAAAUGUCCUUUGGCCUUUUGUCAAAUCCACACUGACCUCUUUUCAAAUGCGUGUGGUCAGUGUUAUUUUUCAAAGGCCCUUUGAAGUUUGCUUUGUUGCCUUCCCUCCCUGUGGGUCACAGAGCAAUUACUGGAAGAUUUGUGGGAGGCCGCUUUUGGCUUUGUGUACAUGUGAACGCCUGUUUAUAAAUCAGGUGAGUUAAGAACUGUGAUGUGGGGGUCCCCAGCUUCCAGCUAGCAGCAGCUUCCCAAUUCCUUCUGCGUGAGGAUCACCAGAAAAUAACCAAAGCCAAAAUUUCAUUCUGAGUCUGUGGGGUUUUCUACAACAGGUCCCGUGUCUUCUUUCUUGGCCCCAUCCUUCCCUGUGGCUUCCCUCUCCUUGGAGUUAAAUACUGGCUGGAUGUCAGGCUGGGGACCCUCAGUGCACCCCACUGGCCCAAGUGGGGCACCGGGAGCGUGUUCCAGGCCUGCCAAGGUGGCAGUGUGUGCAUCCCCUCUCUCAGGGUUCUUCUAGCUGUAAUUUCAAGAUUGGGAGCUUUUCCUGACAGCGCAGAGUCCACUUGCCCUACAUUUAAUUGACUUCACAAACUUUCAGUUCCCUGUCUGUAAAUGGGGUUAGUAUGUAAAUGGGACUGCUGCAAGGAUACAUGAGAGAAUACCUAUGGGAUUAGAGGGACCCUUGUCCUCACCACUCCAUCAGGCAAGGAGGGAAGCCCCCGUCAGAUUAAUUGGAUAACUGGAGCUGCCUGCAGUCAUAAAACGAAAUCAUGUUUGUAUAGGGACCUCUACGAUCCAGACACAUCACUUCAUUGCAUCCUCAUGCCCAUCCUGUGCGGAGGUUAUGGUUGUUACCUCAUUUUGACAAUGAAGCAUCAAAGGUUGAGAGGUAAAGAGACUUUUCACUCUGUAACCUAUCUUUUUCCCACUAGGGUGGAACCACUCAUAAAUAACUGUAUUCAUAAAAUGUUACAGUUCCGUGGGAAACAACGCAACUUGGCAACUCGUAGAAAGACUUUGUGAGACUAUGUGGGGCUAUUUGUAUCUUAAGCUAAUUGAGGCAAAGAGCUAGGGAAGGAGACGGGCUUUCUAUCACAGCCCUGCCUCCGUCCUUUCCUUAUGAGGAUUCCAGACUCUCCCACAUAUCGUGUACCUGAUGACAAGGCACAGGAUAAGGUGACCAGAGGUGCUCAGACAGUGGCUUUCUCACCAGAGGUAAUGACAUUCUGAUCAAGAUUGGAUUGAUCACUGGCUCUUCUCAUGCCACAUUUUCACAUCAAGUGUUGAAGGCCACUGUCUUCUUCUUUGUCCUGUGGUUACACAACAUUGAGUGGAGGAAUGUUCUGGCCGUGUGUCCACACAGCCUUGAGGCAUCCCAAGAGAGUGGGAAGAUCAAAGAUUUGGGAAUCAGAAAAAGCAAGUGAGAAGACCAGUGCUGUCAUCCAACAGCUGUGUGCCUGGAAUCACUCUGACCUGUCUCAACUUCAUUUUACUCUUUUGUAAUAUGGGUUUUUGACACCUACAUUGCAUGGCUAUUGUGAGGAUUUAAUGAGAUAAAGUAUGUAAAGUUCUUGUCACAGAAGACAGUCAACAAGUUAAAGCUGACAUGUCCUUCCACCUCGAGGGUCUCAAACCUCAAGUGCAUGCUGUCUCUAUCUCUCUCUCUCUCUGUCCCCUCUCAUCGUACCCUUACACCCUUUGGACAAUUAUGUGACCUCUCAGAGCCUCAGUGUCUUCAACUCUAAUAGAGAAUCACAGAGUUGCUGGAAUGCCCAGGACAACGAAAUUCUAAAUUAAUGCUUUCAAUCCCAGGUGCAGUUUCCCUGUGUUUGUGCAGGGCUGGGCCGAGUUAGGAGCCUGAAUCUCUCUCCACCUCCAUGGCUUCUCCAGGAGGCUUCAUCUUGCUGCGGAGGUGGACUGCAGAUGGCCACUGCCACCACUCCUCAGAGGGCAUGUUAUACUGGUGGAGUUAAUAACUGACACCUGGGAGAUUAGGUCUGUGGCUCUCCUUUCUCUCUAGUGAUGAUCAGUUCUAUCCAUGGGGACUCAGAACGGAGGGCCAGAGAGGACUGCAGAAACAAAGUCCAGAGAUGUGAAGUGACUUGUCCAAGAUCCCAAAGCUUGUCCAUGUCUGAAUCACGAUAAACAACUUCAGGGAUGGUCUCUCUAUGAUAUUUAAAACAGUGUGUGUUGUCUUCUGCUUUUCCUUUGAUUUGGAGCCUGCUGUUAUAACACUGUCUUGUUGGACUGCCACGUGUCCACUGGGAAUUGCUCCCAGAGCAGAAUUGGACUCAGCAGGGCUGCAGCGGAGUGUGGUGAAAGGACUGCUGAACAGGGUGGGGAGCAGAGGUCUGAGGGCCAGUCUCCCUAUCCACUGCUGACUUUUCUUGGGUAUUUGAGGUUUUCCUAGGUUUAAAUUAGUUGAAUAAAAUAGAUAGUUUUCAGGCCUUUUGAUUGUUCAAUGCUCUGGAAUUGGAGCCCUUUGGACAGAAGAAAUUUACAUGUCACCUUAAAACAUACAUAAAAAAGUGCAAAGCUGCUCCAGUUGAAGUUAGAAGAGGAAAGCAAGAACCUCUUUCCCUGGGCACCCCUGAAGCACAUUGCGGAACCCUGGGCCUCCUCAGAGCACAGUCUGGAAACCUCCAGACUGGAGGCCUCUAAGAUCUUCUGGUGGGAUGAUAAGUGUGAGAUGCAUCCAGAGGUACUACCAAAGAUCUUCACUUCUCCAGGGUCCUCCCAGGAAUAUACAUUUGUCUCAGAAGCCAGCAAACUCCCUUGUCUUCCCUUCACUUCCUGCCCAUGUGCCAAGGUGGUAGGUUUCAGAGUUAAUGGAAAGCUGGGACUUGACCCUGUUCCUCAAGGAGCUUAUUCUUAAACUUUCAAGGCAGAUGCCCCACGAAUGUUUGAAAAAUAGAUGAAAACACCUCUUUUGAGGGAUACAGAAGCCAAAAACUGUGCCUAGCACCCAGUCCUCAGUAAGAAGUACAUUUGGCAUGGUGCCCAGAGCAUAUAUGCUUAUCCAUAUGAAUGCCAUAAAAAACCUGGAGAGAAUCCAUUCUCUUUGUUUCAUUAAAAAGAUGCUGGUGGUGAGCCACUG